GCACUACGGUGCUGAAGCAACAAAUGCCCUGCUUCCAGGAAAAGCCUCUAAGCAUCAGGUAACAUCAAAUCGUACCCCAAACCGACACAGGUGGUCAGGUAGAGAAUACCAAGGCGCUUGAGAGAACUCGGGUGAAGGAACUAGGCAAAAUGGUGCCGUAACUUCGGGAGAAGGCACGCUGAUAUGUAGGUGAAGCGACUUGCUCGUGGAGCUGAAAUCAGUCGAAGAUACCAGCUGGCUGCAACUGUUUAUUAAAAACACAGCACUGUGCAAACACGAAAGUGGACGUAUACGGUGUGACGCCUGCCCGGUGCCGGAAGGUUAAUUGAUGGGGUCAGCGCAAGCGAAGCUCUUGAUCGAAGCCCCGGUAAACGGCGGCCGUAACUAUAACGGUCCUAAGGUAGCGAAAUUCCUUGUCGGGUAAGUUCCGACCUGCACGAAUGGCGUAAUGAUGGCCAGGCUGUCUCCACCCGAGACUCAGUGAAAUUGAACUCGCUGUGAAGAUGCAGUGUACCCGCGGCAAGACGGAAAGACCCCGUGAACCUUUACUAUAGCUUGACACUGAACAUUGAGCCUUGAUGUGUAGGAUAGGUGGGAGGCUUUGAAGUGUGGACGCCAGUCUGCAUGGAGCCGACCUUGAAAUACCACCCUUUAAUGUUUGAUGUUCUAACGUUGACCCGUAAUCCGGGUUGCGGACAGUGUCUGGUGGGUAGUUUGACUGGGGCGGUCUCCUCCUAAAGAGUAACGGAGGAGCACGAAGGUUGGCUAAUCCUGGUCGGACAUCAGGAGGUUAGUGCAAUGGCAUAAGCCAGCUUGACUGCGAGCGUGACGGCGCGAGCAGGUGCGAAAGCAGGUCAUAGUGAUCCGGUGGUUCUGAAUGGAAGGGCCAUCGCUCAACGGAUAAAAGGUACUCCGGGGAUAACAGGCUGAUACCGCCCAAGAGUUCAUAUCGACGGCGGUGUUUGGCACCUCGAUGUCGGCUCAUCACAUCCUGGGGCUGAAGUAGGUCCCAAGGGUAUGGCUGUUCGCCAUUUAAAGUGGUACGCGAGCUGGGUUUAGAACGUCGUGAGACAGUUCGGUCCCUAUCUGCCGUGGGCGCUGGAGAACUGAGGGGGGCUGCUCCUAGUACGAGAGGACCGGAGUGGACGCAUCACUGGUGUUCGGGUUGUCAUGCCAAUGGCACUGCCCGGUAGCUAAAUGCGGAAGAGAUAAGUGCUGAAAGCAUCUAAGCACGAAACUUGCCCCGAGAUGAGUUCUCCCUGACUCCUUGAGAGUCCUGAAGGAACGUUGAAGACGACGACGUUGAUAGGCCGGGUGUGUAAGCGCAGCGAUGCGUUGAGCUAACCGGUACUAAUGAACCGUGAGG
RNAcentral lists this ribosomal RNA (1366 nucleotides) under Escherichia coli. RNAcentral's name for it is "partial 23S ribosomal RNA". It matches the Rfam family "Bacterial large subunit ribosomal RNA", at positions 1574 to 2916 of the family's 2925-position model. Lineage: Bacteria; Pseudomonadati; Pseudomonadota; Gammaproteobacteria; Enterobacterales; Enterobacteriaceae. The record is from RNAcentral.